UGGGACACAGGCCUCCCCCCCACCUCCCCUUCUCGGCCUUCGCGAGUGUGGGCGCCUCGCGGCACUGGCGAGCCGCUCCAGGUCAUAAUAAGUAUGGAUUACCACUCUGGAGAAUUCAACUGAUGAAGAACAGUGGUUGGCAAUCUUCCCUUUGGUGUAUUUUUGGUAAAUUGCUGACUGAUGCAGAAGGAUUGAUGUUCUUCCAGAGAAUCAGAGCCCCGUCAGCCUGAAUCCCUGAGUACAGAUCACAUGGAGCAGAGACCCAACUGACUUGGGAUGGAUGUGUAGCAUAAAAGGAAACAAACCUUUGUUUUUCUAAGCCACUGGAGAUUGUUUUUUGCUGCAGCAUAUUCAAAAGCAGAGACAUUACUUUGCCGACUAAGGUCCGUCUAGUCAAGGCUAUGGUUUUUCCUGUGGUCAUGUAUGGAUGUGAGAGUUGG
Capra hircus (goat) is the source of this 440-nucleotide long non-coding RNA. RefSeq lists it as uncharacterized. The record is from RefSeq and is a predicted model, not a curated record. The transcript has 3 exons. Lineage: Eukaryota; Metazoa; Chordata; Mammalia; Artiodactyla; Bovidae.